Molecule: ribosomal RNA, 119 nt
Filed under: Pteropus vampyrus (large flying fox)
Lineage: Eukaryota; Metazoa; Chordata; Mammalia; Chiroptera; Pteropodidae
Source: RNAcentral
GUGUACGGCCACGCCACCCUGAACGAGCCCGAUCCCGUCGGAUCUCGGGAGCUAAGCAGGGUUGGGCCUGGUUAGUCCUUGGAUGGGAGACCACCCAGGACAACCAGGUGCUGCAGGCC